CCAGCCUGCAAUAAACAGCCACAACCUGCUGCUGCGGCUGCCUUCCGACCCAGGCUGAACGAGUUCAAUUCGCCCGAGCUGCGUGCUCCCGCAGCCGCCCAGCAGCCACCCACUGCCAUACUGCCAGGGGAAGAACACUCAGAAUAGCAGGGAGGGACAAAAAACGAGGCGGCCUUUCAAUCUACUCCUUCCAUCUGCAGAGGAGGCGAUUGGUGAUCGGAGAUGCUGCUUGACCUGCUGUGUAUUUUCAGGAAUUUCUGGUCAACUGGGCAGGGAGGCUGUGAGCUGGCCCUGUGGACCGGUAGACCAUAAGAGAUGCUGGUAUGCUGUGCCAUCAUGUACCUUGAUAAAAUAGCACUGACCGUUACAAAGAUAGACAUAAAGUGCUAGAGUAACUCAGCGGGUCAUGCAGCAUCUGUGAAAAUCAAGGAUAGGUGAUGCUUCAGGUUCUUCGAACCCUAUGCCACAUUGAACAAAUUACCAAUAUACAGAUGAUAUCUUUCAUGA
This is a long non-coding RNA of Amblyraja radiata (thorny skate), 507 nucleotides long. RefSeq lists it as uncharacterized. The record is from RefSeq and is a predicted model, not a curated record. The transcript is spliced from 4 exons. Lineage: Eukaryota; Metazoa; Chordata; Chondrichthyes; Rajiformes; Rajidae.